This is a long non-coding RNA of Varroa destructor (honeybee mite), 1832 nucleotides long. RefSeq lists it as uncharacterized. The record is from RefSeq and is a predicted model, not a curated record. Lineage: Eukaryota; Metazoa; Arthropoda; Arachnida; Mesostigmata; Varroidae.
AUAGUUUCGUAGAAAAUAGCCAUCCCAGAAAAAGGAUUUUAUAUUUAAUCCUAUUAUCGCUUCAGGCUCUAUGAAGACGAAUCGAGACAAAAAAACAAUUCGAGUUCUGUUUCUACUAUGCAACUACAUUGUGGAAAUCAGAGGCCACCGAUUUGCUUGUUUGUUUUAAAGAGACAAAAACUCUGACGCUGCGAUAGCCACGUCACCACAGUCAAUCACUUCUCGACAAACGAGCCUUUCCUAGUCACACCAACGAAACCGUUGCCAGCGAAAACCCAGACGACAAUCGUAUGUAUACCGCCAACGAACGCGAAUAAAACACCUGUUUUCGUUUGCCCCGGCUCAUCCGGUUUCCCCUUCAUCUUCAGUUUCUUUAUUGCGUUCGUCAGAGCAGGCAACGAUGGCUGCUUGAUUUUUCACCCGUUUGUUCUCCUCAGCCAAAGCCACUGGGCCUCGAGCAGAGCAGAAGCGUUCCUUGCGAUUCUGCCUUUGCCAUAUCUUCGGCGCGAUUCAUUCAACUGUUCGUUUAGUUAACCAACAACGAAAUCGCGGACGCGUUCCAGACACGCAACGGUAUUACGAUAGCGGAUCACAAGUGAUGCUGAUGACGCUACACCGAUAGAGGGCAACGAUUUUUAGCCUCCAGUUAACCGUUUUCACCUUGAACGCGUAGCGAAAAUUUUCCCACUGUCUCAUCAUUCCCGCCCUCCGUACAAGCUCGAUACUCCUGUUGUGCGUAUGUACGCGUAUAAGAAAUGAGGACAUAUGACGAUGCUGUGGCCUGGUUGGCCUAACCGUAUUGGAGCGGUUUUCACUAACGAAGGACAAGAUUAUGAAGCAAAAUCCUCCCUGUCAUUGUUAGCAGUUUACCGAUCUGACUUUCUACGAUGCAUUAAGUACGACUUAUGUGAUCAAGAUGCGCUCCAAGCGAUAUAGGAGCAAUAGCGGAGUUAACCGUAACAGUGUUAGCAUUGAGUAUCAAUGCUCUAACCAAAAGGGACAAUGAAAUAAACACACUGUUGUACAACUACGAUUGGCGGCGCGCUUAGCUUCAUUUCGCUAUGUCGCUGAUCUCGACCCAGAGCACAAAGUAGCUUAAUCCUUCCGCCCAGUGAUCAUAUUCUACGAUCCAGUCGGAUAAAGUCUCGCUUUUUUUUCCUUAAACUUUUUGGCUGUUACUCGGUCUUCGCUUGCUAUCCUUAGCCUGUAUUCCUGACCGUAGGACGAGUGUGAUUCCCGCGAUUAAUUCCUCCCGUCAAUACAGUUGAUCAUCAAGGAGGCCGCAGAAAGGAGCACAAGGUCGGAACAACAGGAACUGAUAUAGCUAACGUAGAAGCAACGUGCCAAGGUUCACAGGCUUUACGAACAAACCCAUAGGGAAAACAUCGAAAAAAUAGGGCCUCGUCAUAAAAACUUCAACCAAGGCACCUCGCAUGCUCGCUCUACAGCUCGAUCGAAGUCACAGAUACAACCAGAAAUGACCAGGCACUCAGAAGAGGGACGCGUUUAAGUUUCCUAGAAACCAGCCUGCAGCUACUGGCCAGCUUCUGCUUGCAUUGCAAAUUUAUGGUCACUGCUGGUUCAUCAACAUAAAGAUCGUCGUCAUAUGAACGGGUCGAAGGCGUUUCUCCAUAGCUUUUCCUGCGAAGCUCGCCCUAAUCUUACCGAAUCGACAUUAGAUAAAGCGCCGUGUGCUUUUGCGUAAUAUACGGAUCAAGACCUACACAAAUGCAGAUUGGACGUCGCCAAGCACGAGCUGAACACGAAAGGAUAAAAGAUUUGUCAUAUGCAUGGAAGAGAAGUGCUUGAUAGAUGUGGUUGAUAAAUAAUAA